GAGAUGGACCCGCGUCUGAUUAGCUAGUUGGCAGGGCAACGGCCUACCAAGGCGACGAUCAGUAGCCGACCUGAGAGGGUGACCGGCCACAUUGGGACUGAGACACGGCCCAAACUCCUACGGGAGGCAGCAGUGGGGAAUAUUGCACAAUGGGGGAAACCCUGAUGCAGCGACGCCGCGUGAGCGAAGAAGUAUUUCGGUAUGUAAAGCUCUAUCAGCAGGGAAGAAGAAAUGACGGUACCUGACUAAGAAGCACCGGCUAAAUACGUGCCAGCAGCCGCGGUAAUACGUAUGGUGCAAGCGUUAUCCGGAUUUACUGGGUGUAAAGGGAGCGCAGGCGGAAGGCUAAGUCUGAUGUGAAAGCCCGGGGCUCAACCCCGGUACUGCAUUGGAAACUGGUCAUCUAGAGUGUCGGAGGGGUAAGUGGAAUUCCUAGUGUAGCGGUGAAAUGCGUAGAUAUUAGGAGGAACACCAGUGGCGAAGGCGGCUUACUGGACGAUAACUGACGCUGAGGCUCGAAAGCGUGGGGAGCAAACAGGAUUAGAUACCCUGGUAGUCCACGCCGU
RNAcentral lists this ribosomal RNA (566 nucleotides) under uncultured bacterium. RNAcentral's name for it is "bacterial SSU rRNA". It matches the Rfam family "Bacterial small subunit ribosomal RNA", at positions 222 to 803 of the family's 1533-position model. The record is from RNAcentral.